AGGGUUAAAGUUUACAUAAACAUCUAAAUUGCAAUUAGAAAUAACAAUUUUUGUUAACCUGA
This 62-nucleotide transfer RNA is filed under the name Cacopsylla citrisuga. RNAcentral's name for it is "tRNA-Ala". Lineage: Eukaryota; Metazoa; Arthropoda; Insecta; Hemiptera; Psyllidae. The record is from RNAcentral.